Molecule: ribosomal RNA, 253 nt
Filed under: uncultured bacterium
Lineage: Bacteria
Description: partial 16S ribosomal RNA
Rfam family: Bacterial small subunit ribosomal RNA
Source: RNAcentral
UACGGAGGGUGCAAGCGUUAUCCGGAAUCACUGGGUUUAAAGGGCGAGUAGGCGGAUAGACAAGUCAGAUGUGAAAUAUAUGAGCUCAACUCAUAGACUGCAUCUGAAACUGUAUAUCUAGAGUGCUGGAGAGGAAAGCGGAAUUCCUAGUGUAGCGGUGAAAUGCGUAGAUAUUAGGAGGAACACCAGUGGCGAAGGCGGCUUUCUGGACAGUAACUGACGCUGAGGAGCGAAAGCGUGGGGAGCAAACAGG